ACGGUCAAAUCCGGUCGAAUCUCCAACAAAAAUACAAAAUACACUAUAUCUAAAAAUGAAGAAUACAAUCAAACGCAGCCGGAUCUUCGAUGAAAUAUAAAAUACUACUAUAUUUACACUAAACAAAAUGAAGAAUACAUUCAAAUCCUUUUUAAAAAUUAUUGUAUUUAACUAAAAAUAAAAGUAUAUAGUCAAAUCUCCGAAGAGAAUACAAAAUGCACUAUAUUUAAAAAUGGUGAAUACAAUAAAAUGCCAUCGAAUCUCCGACGAAAAUUCAAACUACAUUUUAAAUAUCUCACGAAAAUACAAAAUGCACUAUAUUUAUACAAUGAUUUUCCGACGUGAAAUGCAUUGGAGAAGAAAGAGGUGGCUUCUUUUUCUGGCGUGAAAAAUAGUGAUGGAAGAAUAAGUCUUAGGUCAGACGCAUAGACUCCGAUAUGAGCUACAAACAAGGAGAAGAAGCAAUGGGUUCCGGCAUCUCCGUUAGAUCCAGAUUUGGUGAUGCCUCCAAUCUUCCCCUCCAUUGUUUUCGUUGCUGGUAAUGGAUUGAUCUCAACUUCAUGAUUUCAGAUCUGGAUCACACGGUGGGUGACGUCGGUGUUUAAGGGUGAUUCACAGUGAGGGGGGUAAACGGCGGAGGGUGGUGAUGUGUGGGGAAGAGAGAAAGAUAUGGUUGUUUAGUUGGGCUCCGUAGAGCUCCGCUCGAGAAGACGGUCGACGGUGACUUCUCUGCGGCAGAGGGAGAAGAGAGAGGGAAAAGGAGAGGGAGAGUUGAGGAAGAAGAGAGAGAGAGAGAGAGGUUUGAGAGAAAAGAUUAUACAGUAGAAUAAUUCUAUAUUAGCUAUGAUGGAUAAAUUGAAAAUUU
RNAcentral lists this long non-coding RNA (865 nucleotides) under Nicotiana benthamiana. RNAcentral's name for it is "long non-coding RNA (NBEN_LNC034067)". The record is from RNAcentral. Lineage: Eukaryota; Viridiplantae; Streptophyta; Magnoliopsida; Solanales; Solanaceae.